AUCCAGCUGAUGAAUCCUAAAUAGGACGAAACGUGCAUCCUGGAU
Molecule: non-coding RNA, 45 nt
Organism: Schistosoma haematobium
Lineage: Eukaryota; Metazoa; Platyhelminthes; Trematoda; Strigeidida; Schistosomatidae
Source: Rfam